RNAcentral lists this ribosomal RNA (565 nucleotides) under uncultured Glomeromycotina. Its description in RNAcentral is "SSU rRNA". It matches the Rfam family "Eukaryotic small subunit ribosomal RNA", at positions 547 to 1114 of the family's 1831-position model. The record is from RNAcentral. Lineage: Eukaryota; Fungi; Glomeromycota.
UUUGGAGGGCAAGUCUGGUGCCAGCAGCCGCGGUAAUUCCAGCUCCAAUAGCGUAUAUUAAAGUUGUUGCAGUUAAAAAGCUCGUAGUUGAAUUUCGGGAUCAAUUUGUCGGUCGUGCCUCGGUACGUACUGGCAUUAUUGAUUUCUCCCUUCUGAAGAACCGCGAUGUCAUUAAUUUGGUGUCGUGGGGAAUCAGGACUGUUACUUUGAAAAAAUUAGAGUGUUUAAAGCAGGCGCACGCUUGAAUACAUUAGCAUGGAAUAAUGAAAUAGGACGUUUGAUUCUAUUUUGUUGGUUUCUAGGAUCGACGUAAUGAUUAAUAGGGAUAGUUGGGGGCAUUAGUAUUCAAUUGUCAGAGGUGAAAUUCUUGGAUUUAUUGAAGACUAACUACUGCGAAAGCAUUUGCCAAGGAUGUUUUCAUUAAUCAAGAACGAAAGUUAGGGGAUCGAAGACGAUCAGAUACCGUCGUAGUCUUAACCAUAAACUAUGCCGACUAGGGAUCGGAUGAUGUUAAUUUUUUAAUGACUCAUUCGGCGCCUUACGGGAAACCAAAGUGUUUGGGUUC